CCUUCUGUACGAAUCCGCCUCCUCCUCCUCCCGCCCGGCUCUCUGACUUUCCAGAAGCAAUGUCCUCGGCGGUGGGCUCCUGAUCUGCAGGGCAGAGAAGCGGCCGUCAGUGUGAACAGUACAAUAAACCAGGCACAUCGUCAGCUGCGUACGAGACAACAUGGCGGGCAGGACGGGGAGCCCGCCACUUCCGGGACAGGCGAGCGCGAGGCGGCAGCUCAGCACUCUCACAGAAGACAGGACGGAACGCAGCAAGAGAGAAACUGAACCACUACCUACCUAUGGGAUGGAGCACGGAGGCAGCGUGGUCGGAAGACGCGCGUGGCAGGGAUGCACCUGCCCCAUCUGGCGGAGACAGCAGCGAGGCAGGAGAUGCUGGGGAUAUGACAGGGCCGGCAUUAGGAGGGGGAGCAAUUGCCCAGGGCCCCCUUCCAGUGGCCUUCGUCAGUGCUGGCGGCAGCAGUUUACGGCAGAGCACAUGCGCCUAUGGCUCCCAUUCCCGCUGUUCAGGCUGCUAGACCUGAUGCCUAUAAGGCAGUAGAAGAGAGCAGGAGGUCUCGAUGAAGUGAUCACAAAUGCCUGUGUCUUACACUGCCUGAGACCCAGCACAGACGGGUGUGCUGAUGUCAUCGUGACUACCUGUGCUGGGACAUGGACA
Bufo gargarizans (Asiatic toad) is the source of this 658-nucleotide long non-coding RNA. RefSeq lists it as uncharacterized. The record is from RefSeq and is a predicted model, not a curated record. NCBI's taxonomy places the organism in Eukaryota, Metazoa, Chordata, Amphibia, Anura, Bufonidae. The transcript is spliced from 3 exons.